UCCCUGUCCAGAGACCUUCCUCGGAGUCCGUUACAACACCACCAAUAACGUGUACAGAGAAUGUCUUGCCAAUGGCACCUGGGCGAAGAAGGGAAACUACUCCCAAUGUCAGGAAAUCCUCAACGAGGAGAAGAAGAGCAAGCUGCAUUACCACAUUGCAGUCAUCAUAAACUACCUGGGACACUGUAUCUCUCUGGGAGCCCUGCUGGUCGCCUUCAUCCUCUUCAUGAGA
Molecule: long non-coding RNA, 232 nt
Organism: Sinocyclocheilus rhinocerous
Lineage: Eukaryota; Metazoa; Chordata; Actinopteri; Cypriniformes; Cyprinidae
Exons: 3
Source: RefSeq, a predicted model, not a curated record